Molecule: long non-coding RNA, 1744 nt
Filed under: Monodelphis domestica (gray short-tailed opossum)
Lineage: Eukaryota; Metazoa; Chordata; Mammalia; Didelphimorphia; Didelphidae
Description: lncRNA (ENSMODG00000036923.1)
Source: RNAcentral
UACUGAACUUGGAGACAAGGAGUCUUUGUUCUGACAUACUCUCUAUGUGAAUUUAAUCAGUAAUUUCAACCCUCUUCACUUCAGUUGCUUAUUAUAAAAUGAGGAGUUUGGGCAAGAUGAUAUCAAGAUUUUUUCCCCCAAUUUUAGAUCUCUGAUUCCCUGAUCUUCACUUCAUUACGAUUAUACACAGAAUAAAAAGCAGAAAAUUAAGAAAAUUGCAGGAAUAAUUUUACUACUAAAACUGUUUUCUUCAAUAUCCAAGUAACUGAGGAAAAUUAAUAUUUGGUUUAAAUUCUCCAUGUUUAACUUAGUGAGUAUGUAGAUAUUUCCCCAAAAUUUCAAGUCUAGUAGUAGUAGUAGUCUCUCGGUAACCAAGGAUGACAAUUGUCUUUGUGCACUUUCAUCUGUGAUGUAGAUGAGUGUGCACAAAGACACUUGUGCAUGAAGGAGAUUUAAGUGGAAGAGUCAAUGCACAGAGACAGUCCCACUCUCUUGGCAUUGGAAGCCUGGGUCCAGUGGCACGAAAAGUCGUUACACCUGGAGACUUCCUCAGCUGCAUUGGAUGGCCGUGUUGUUGUGCUCCAACAUGCCCUAAGCACUUCAUAGUGCCUUGCUGCGUCGCCAUCUCAGCCAUUGAACCUUCUUAUUGGUUUCUUCCUUCUGUUCAGCCGAAGCAGUCUUCACAUGCUGGGUUGCAUCUUCCCUGGCUGUAUGUGAGGUCUUAUUUGGCUUUUGCUUGAAACCUGGAACCAGCAAAGUGUCUUGCAAUAGUGUCUGACUCACCAUGAAAAGCAGGAUGAGUGGAGCCAAGAUGGCAGAAUAGAGCAGAGAAACUCAAAGUCACCAUGAGAACCAUUUCUAAACAACCCUAAAAUAACACCACAAAAUGAAUACGAGUGAAAGAACCAACAAGGAGACAAAGUGAAACAACUUUCAAGAGGAGAAAAAUGUAAAAGGUAGGCAAAAAACAUCUGGGACACUGGGAUGAGAGGGAAAUAUAGACAGCAGCAGGCUACAGCAAGGAGUUAGUAGCAAGUUAAGAGCGAGCCCCACCACUUGACCUUCAGGCUACAUGUGCUGUGCCAGGUUCUGAAUCUGAGCUCAAGUCAACCUCCAUACCCUGACACCCUGCCUGGGCAAAAACAGGUCCAAAUAACCCACACCCCUUGAAACUCCAAAACUGUAGUGAAGUCCAGAAUUCCAGUCCUGGGUAGUCUGUGCUGAAGCAGCUUGAUCUAUGUGGGUCCAGAGUGAAACUAGAAGUCCCAGUCUGGAUCUGUGGCAAGGAUAUAGAUCCCAGUUUGGGGUAGUUGGUAGACCCAAAGGGGAGGGUCCCUCCUGAUCUUCUUUAUAAAAGCUCAAGGUUGAGCCCUAGAAUAGGGCAAUCUACUGUGUGCUUGACAAAAUCAAGCUUACAAUGAGUCCGAAAGCUUACACCUAAGCCUGAAGCUAAAAUUUGAGCAGUUCCUGACCUGAUCAAGUACAGUGAGACCAAAAGCUUAUAUGCAAACUUCAGGUGAGAACUUCAGCUACCAAAAUCUGAAGGGUUAAUUGAAUCAGCAGUUGGAGAAGGCUCUCAGAACUUUCAGUCCUCAGGACAUCAUACCAUCUUAGAAGAACUGAAACUAGCAGAAACCCAGAAAAAAAAAAAGUAAGGGUAGUAUCAAAGAAGGACUGAAGCUUAAGAGGGUACCCUAACAUCCCAGAUAAUAAACCUGCCUAUAAAAAGAUAGGGAAAAUGAGC